Molecule: non-coding RNA, 129 nt
Filed under: Arthrobacter sp.
Lineage: Bacteria; Bacillati; Actinomycetota; Actinomycetes; Micrococcales; Micrococcaceae
Also listed under: 1 other name
Description: SAM-IV sequence
Rfam family: SAM (S-adenosyl methionine) riboswitch aptamer
About the family: SAM-IV is a mRNA element that regulates gene expression via direct sensing of S-adenosylmethionine (SAM or AdoMet). SAM-IV riboswitches share conserved nucleotide positions with the previously described SAM-I riboswitches sequence analysis and molecular recognition experiments suggest that SAM-I and SAM-IV riboswitches share similar ligand binding sites, but have different scaffolds.
Source: RNAcentral
AGUAAUGAGCGCCAGCGCGCAACCAAAGACUUGGUUGCACUGCCCUGACUUGCUGGCCGGCAACCCUCGAUUCCGGUGGGGUGCCUCAGGUGAGUACUCGGCAACGUAUUGAGGUUGCAAGCGUGGAAU